GAGGAAUAUUGCGCAAUGGGGGCAACCCUGACGCAGCAACGCCGCGUGAGUGAGGAAGGUUUUCGGACCGUAAAGCUCUGUCGAGUGGGAAGAAGUGUAUCAUGGCUAAUAUCCGUGAUAUUUGACGGUACCGCUAGAGGAAGCACCGGCUAACUCCGUGCCAGCAGCCGCGGUAAUACGGGGGGUGCAAGCGUUGUUCGGAAUUAUUGGGCGUAAAGAGCGUGUAGGCGGCCGAGCAAGUCAGAUGUGAAAUCCCCGGGCUUAACCCGGGAAGUGCAUUUGAAACUGCUAGGCUUGAGUAGGGGAGAGGAAAGUGGAAUUCCUGGUGUAGAGGUGAAAUUCGUAGAUAUCAGGAGGAACACCGGUGGCGAAGGCGACUUUCUGGCCCUAUACUGACGCUGAGACGCGAGAGCGUGGGUAGCAAAC
RNAcentral lists this ribosomal RNA (426 nucleotides) under uncultured bacterium. RNAcentral describes it as "bacterial SSU rRNA". It matches the Rfam family "Bacterial small subunit ribosomal RNA", at positions 356 to 773 of the family's 1533-position model. The record is from RNAcentral.